RNAcentral lists this transfer RNA (75 nucleotides) under Methanomicrobiales archaeon. RNAcentral's name for it is "tRNA-Pro". It matches the Rfam family "tRNA". From Rfam's summary of the family: Transfer RNA (tRNA) molecules are approximately 80 nucleotides in length. Their secondary structure includes four short double-helical elements and three loops (D, anti-codon, and T loops). Further hydrogen bonds mediate the characteristic L-shaped molecular structure. tRNAs have two regions of fundamental functional importance: the anti-codon, which is responsible for specific mRNA codon recognition, and the 3' end, to which the tRNAs corresponding amino acid is attached (by aminoacyl-tRNA synthetases). tRNAs cope with the degeneracy of the genetic code in two manners: having more than one tRNA (with a specific anti-codon) for a particular amino acid; and 'wobble' base-pairing, i.e. permitting non-standard base-pairing at the 3rd anti-codon position. The record is from RNAcentral. Lineage: Archaea; Methanobacteriati; Methanobacteriota; Methanomicrobia; Methanomicrobiales.
GGGGCAGUAGGGUAGCCUGGUCUAUCCUAGAGCGUUUGGGACGCUUUGACGGCAGUUCGAAUCUGCCCUGCCCCA